RNAcentral lists this long non-coding RNA (292 nucleotides) under Elaeis guineensis (African oil palm). RNAcentral describes it as "long non-coding RNA (EGUI_LNC001587)". The record is from RNAcentral. Lineage: Eukaryota; Viridiplantae; Streptophyta; Magnoliopsida; Arecales; Arecaceae.
AAAUGAUUUUCCUUUUGAUAGGUUAGGGAAAAAUAUUCAUUUAUUAUUUCAGAUAUUUUAAGACCUUACAAUUUAUAGUAGGUAAAAUGAUAAAUAAGUUUAUCAUAUUUUUGCUUUAUAUAAAACUUUUCUUUCAAUUAUUAUAUGAUUAAACUAUGAUAUUUGGAUAUUCAUUUUUAAUAAAAUACUUUUUUUUAAAAAAAAUUAUGAUGUUGCAGGUUAGUGGACUGGCUUGCUGUCUAUUCGUGUUGGAGCCUUUAACAGAAGACCUACAACUGAAACAAAUCUAACC